ACUCCUACGGGAGGCAGCAGUGGGGAAUAUUGCACAAUGGGGGAAACCCUGAUGCAGCCAUGCCGCGUGUGUGAAGAAGGCCUUGGGUUGUAAAGCACUUUCAGUAGGGAGGAAGGUAGUGUAGUUAACACCUGCAUUAUUUGACGUUACCUACAGAAGAAGCACCGGCUAACUCCGUGCCAGCAGCCGCGGUAAUACGGAGGGUGCGAGCGUUAAUCGGAAUUACUGGGCGUAAAGCGCAUGCAGGCGGCCUGUUAAGUCAGAUGUGAAAGCCCGGGGCUUAACCUCGGAAUUGCAUUUGAAACUGGCAGGCUAGAGUCUUGUAGAGGGGUUAGAAUUUCAGGUGUAGCGGUGAAAUGCGUAGAGAUCUGAAGGAAUACCGAGUGGCGAAGGCGGCCCCCUGGACAAAGACUGACGCUCAGAUGCGAAAGCGUGGGAGCAAACAGGAUUAGAUACCCCUGGUAGACUGUCA
This 472-nucleotide ribosomal RNA is filed under the name uncultured bacterium. RNAcentral describes it as "bacterial SSU rRNA". It matches the Rfam family "Bacterial small subunit ribosomal RNA", at positions 335 to 802 of the family's 1533-position model. The record is from RNAcentral.